AAAGCGCACGUGCACGGGGUGUCUACGAUCGCACGAGUACGCGUAUGUCAUGUAUCGCGCGGAAUGCACGUGCUUGCGGGAACGAAGGUCAGCGAAGGCCGCAAUUCCGACCGAUUGAUUGAUUGAUUGAUCGCGGAAUAGCGAGAUUGAACGGCGAGCGGUGUGGAUCGCAAAAUUCUCCGGAUAUCUCGACCUGGAUGUCUGACAUUUAGUCUGCUCGUGAUAAAUUUUUUUCUUGAUAAUACCGCUUGUCUAAUUUCCGCUAAUUUUUUGUAAUCAAUCUUCUUGGGAUUAUUCCUUUAAACUAAUCUUCUUGGGUUUAUUCCUAAUGAUUAAUUGUUAAGCUUAAAAUAGCUUUGUUUGCAAAACAAAAACAAGCUUGUUUGUUUUGAAAAACGUUUCUAAAAAACGUUAAAAAUAAUUGGUUGAAUUCUCUUUUUUCAGAAACCUCAAAAGAAACCUUUUUAAAAGUUUGAAAAGCCAUAGAGAAAGUAAUGAUCAGAAUGACUUCAAAUUUUUACGGUUUACAUAUGUCAAGACUAUCUAUCGGACGGCAAAAGAAAUUUUUCUCUACAGUUACUUUAUGUCAAUGAGGCCGGAAACUUUUCAAAUGGCCCACGUAUUUGAGAAUACUCGAGUAGGGAAUCUAAACGCAGCUCUCACGAGGCUCAAUAAAGCGCGGUGGUUGCAUCAGAAGAGACGAGUGAUGCAGAGUUGAUUUAAUCAGUUCUCAAUUGGGAGUCGACUGAUGUAAUCUUCCUCCCGUGGCCGCUAAGCCAUCGCAGAUGUUCAUAUCACCAUGACUGUCACUACAUGACUAUUAUCAGUCACUAUUCCGUUCCUGACCUGUUACGUAUC
Molecule: long non-coding RNA, 858 nt
Organism: Solenopsis invicta (red fire ant)
Lineage: Eukaryota; Metazoa; Arthropoda; Insecta; Hymenoptera; Formicidae
Exons: 2
Source: RefSeq, a predicted model, not a curated record